This 90-nucleotide transfer RNA is filed under the name Allopontixanthobacter sediminis. RNAcentral describes it as "tRNA-Ser". It matches the Rfam family "tRNA". Rfam says of the family: Transfer RNA (tRNA) molecules are approximately 80 nucleotides in length. Their secondary structure includes four short double-helical elements and three loops (D, anti-codon, and T loops). Lineage: Bacteria; Pseudomonadati; Pseudomonadota; Alphaproteobacteria; Sphingomonadales; Erythrobacteraceae. RNAcentral also lists the same sequence under 3 other names. The record is from RNAcentral.
GGAGACGUGGGUGAGUGGCUGAAACCAGUUCCCUGCUAAGGAACCGUGGGGGUAACCCCACCGAGGGUUCGAAUCCCUCCGUCUCCGCCA